Molecule: ribosomal RNA, 1528 nt
Filed under: Klebsiella variicola
Lineage: Bacteria; Pseudomonadati; Pseudomonadota; Gammaproteobacteria; Enterobacterales; Enterobacteriaceae
Also listed under: 1 other name
Description: bacterial SSU rRNA
Rfam family: Bacterial small subunit ribosomal RNA
Source: RNAcentral
AGAGUUUGAUCAUGGCUCAGAUUGAACGCUGGCGGCAGGCCUAACACAUGCAAGUCGAGCGGUAGCACAGAGAGCUUGCUCUCGGGUGACGAGCGGCGGACGGGUGAGUAAUGUCUGGGAAACUGCCUGAUGGAGGGGGAUAACUACUGGAAACGGUAGCUAAUACCGCAUAAUGUCGCAAGACCAAAGUGGGGGACCUUCGGGCCUCAUGCCAUCAGAUGUGCCCAGAUGGGAUUAGCUAGUAGGUGGGGUAACGGCUCACCUAGGCGACGAUCCCUAGCUGGUCUGAGAGGAUGACCAGCCACACUGGAACUGAGACACGGUCCAGACUCCUACGGGAGGCAGCAGUGGGGAAUAUUGCACAAUGGGCGCAAGCCUGAUGCAGCCAUGCCGCGUGUGUGAAGAAGGCCUUCGGGUUGUAAAGCACUUUCAGCGGGGAGGAAGGCGGUGAGGUUAAUAACCUCAUCGAUUGACGUUACCCGCAGAAGAAGCACCGGCUAACUCCGUGCCAGCAGCCGCGGUAAUACGGAGGGUGCAAGCGUUAAUCGGAAUUACUGGGCGUAAAGCGCACGCAGGCGGUCUGUCAAGUCGGAUGUGAAAUCCCCGGGCUCAACCUGGGAACUGCAUUCGAAACUGGCAGGCUAGAGUCUUGUAGAGGGGGGUAGAAUUCCAGGUGUAGCGGUGAAAUGCGUAGAGAUCUGGAGGAAUACCGGUGGCGAAGGCGGCCCCCUGGACAAAGACUGACGCUCAGGUGCGAAAGCGUGGGGAGCAAACAGGAUUAGAUACCCUGGUAGUCCACGCUGUAAACGAUGUCGAUUUGGAGGUUGUGCCCUUGAGGCGUGGCUUCCGGAGCUAACGCGUUAAAUCGACCGCCUGGGGAGUACGGCCGCAAGGUUAAAACUCAAAUGAAUUGACGGGGGCCCGCACAAGCGGUGGAGCAUGUGGUUUAAUUCGAUGCAACGCGAAGAACCUUACCUGGUCUUGACAUCCACAGAACUUUCCAGAGAUGGAUUGGUGCCUUCGGGAACUGUGAGACAGGUGCUGCAUGGCUGUCGUCAGCUCGUGUUGUGAAAUGUUGGGUUAAGUCCCGCAACGAGCGCAACCCUUAUCCUUUGUUGCCAGCGGUUAGGCCGGGAACUCAAAGGAGACUGCCAGUGAUAAACUGGAGGAAGGUGGGGAUGACGUCAAGUCAUCAUGGCCCUUACGACCAGGGCUACACACGUGCUACAAUGGCAUAUACAAAGAGAAGCGACCUCGCGAGAGCAAGCGGACCUCAUAAAGUAUGUCGUAGUCCGGAUUGGAGUCUGCAACUCGACUCCAUGAAGUCGGAAUCGCUAGUAAUCGUAGAUCAGAAUGCUACGGUGAAUACGUUCCCGGGCCUUGUACACACCGCCCGUCACACCAUGGGAGUGGGUUGCAAAAGAAGUAGGUAGCUUAACCUUCGGGAGGGCGCUUACCACUUUGUGAUUCAUGACUGGGGUGAAGUCGUAACAAGGUAACCGUAGGGGAACCUGCGGUUGGAUCACCU